Long non-coding RNA from Vigna radiata var. radiata (mung bean), 2784 nucleotides. RefSeq lists it as uncharacterized. The transcript has 3 exons. Lineage: Eukaryota; Viridiplantae; Streptophyta; Magnoliopsida; Fabales; Fabaceae. The record is from RefSeq and is a predicted model, not a curated record.
UAUAGAAUGUCUCCUUUUCGCGCAAUACUUUCUCUUCUCUUCUCUUUUCUUUUUCUUUUUUUCCCGCAAUUUUCAUAACGAAACAAGAAUUUUUGUGCUUCAGCCAUGGCUCCGAGAAGAGUCUCACCUCGAUCUACAAUUAGGAUUCCUCCACUCUCUUGCCGUUUUUACCAACCUCAGCUUCGACGUUUCCUCUCUCAACCGCCUCUUCGACACUUCGGCAUUCCUGUUCUUCAAGGACCUCACCGUCGAUCGCAUCACCUUUAGAUUCUCCACCUGGUUCCCUCCGGCCUUCACGAUCGAAUUUCACGGCGUGCAUGUCGUGUAAUCGUUCGAGAAGCCAGAAGCUGAGGAAUGUGUGGCGCGGUUGCGAAAUGCGAAGAAGUAUGAUCACUCGAAUUAUAUGAGAAAAAAAACUAUGGGCGCUUGAUCUUGAGGUAACGAAUGCACUUCUCCGAGUUUGAAUUUACUAUUCAUACUUAAGUUGACGAGGAGUGUUGGUCUUACCGAACAUUAUAAUAACUUACAGAUAUAUGAUGACACUAUUACUGAUAACAGUUUUGUCUUGUUAUCUUGCUUAUGGUAGAUGAAAAUAAUGAUGAUUCGUGGGAAAAUUUAUAGAAUUGUUGGAGUUUUUCUAUGGAUCUUGAAUGUUUCUCCAAUUUCAUUUUCAACAGCUAAUUUUGAUUUGAAUUCUUAUUUUCUAUUUGAUAUUGUUUCCGCCAUUCAAAUUCAUCUCUUCUCUUCUUAAUAUUUCUUCAAAUUAACCAAAGUUUAAACUUAAUUUGAUGAGAAUAACACUUGUUCUUGCAGCAACACUGGUUUCUUUGGUGGAUUCACUCUAAAAAUUAGAGAAUUCAAUGUCAUCAAUUCAGGAUUAAGUGACUACAAUGUCAGCCUUAAUUCAAAAGAACAAGAAUUAAGCUCUUCAUUUUGCAUUUCAGCUUUUGACUUAAUUUGAAAAUUUCCAAUAAUAUUUGCAGUUGUGAACAAGCCUCUGGGCUCUCCAAUAUCUACUAAAAUUGAUGAGUUGUCUCCUGUUUUCCCUCUACAACCACAACCCUUUCUUCCUCUUAUAGCUCUUUUCCCCAUUGAGACCUUUCACAAAUAAUUCUUUGCCCAAACUAUCAAGUAUGGUUUAUUUUUCCUUUUACAUUAUGAUUCUUUUUUAAAUUUGUUUAUGAGACCAAGAUGUAUUGUAAAUUGUAAUGUAUUGAUGAGAUGCUGAUAAAACAUAUACCAAUAAUUUCUAUUGAUACUGAUCAUAAUCUAAACUAAUUAGGGAAAUAGAACAUGAUAAGAUAAAGAAAUAGGGAAAUAGAACAUGAUAAGACAAGGAAAUAGGAUAAGAUAAGAUGUAUUUACUUAGUUGGUUGAAAUUUGAAAGUGACCACUGAGAUCUUUUUCGGUACGUUAUUAAUUAGGAUGGUGACAACGUAAGAGGACCAAUUUUCUCUUCUGUCUCCAUAUAUUUUCACAUCACAUUCCUCUUCUGGUUUACUUUCAAGGACCAAAACACGCACAACACAACCAACGAAACUUCUCCUUCCUUCCUUAUUAUUAGCUGAUAGAGUAUGGAGGGUUUAUGAGGGAAAAAGAAGAGUUAAAUGAGAAGGAGAAACCUAACUUUAAUAACAGUUAGGCAGUUAGGAGAGGCGCGGGAAAAGAGUUCAUAUAAAGACAGGACUCUGUUGGAGUGUGUACAUUGAGAAGAGAAAUCAAUAACAGAUCCAGUCUUUUGUUAUCUGUGUUCUUGUUUGGGUUUGUUAUCUGUGUUCUUGUUUGGGUGUGCGUGUGGGGAGUUUAGAUACUAUUGUUAUCUGAAACUAAAAUGUUUCUUUAACAUCCCUAUAUGACACAAAUUUGACACCGGCCAGGUGUCAAAUUUCUAUUGGAUUUUUUUAGUUAAAUGAAAAAGGUUUUUAAAAAAGCUACGAGGGUAGAAUAAGAAUUCUGAUUAUAUGAAAUUUCAUUUGGCGGUUUCGUUUUCUUCUCUUUCACUUUGGUUCUGAAGGUUCUUCUCUCCCAUCACUCUUUCCAAUCCCGGUUGCUUCAUCUCUCCAAUCCCUUGCUUUCUCCAUUCGGGUUUCGUCUCAUCUCAACCAAAAAAAGAGUUCUUUCACAAUCACUCUAUUGAGGUAAGCUCUAUUUUGCGUAUCUUGUUUUGGGUGUCUUUGACGUUGUGGCUGUGUUUCGGCAUUUCGCUCUCUUUCGCAUUGUCUGGCUUCUCUUUCGCUCUCUUUGGCGUUUUGGGUCUCUUUGGCGUUAUUUAUUCAUUUUGUGUUUUGUGAACCCUAAGCCACCAUUGAUUUUUUGGUCUCUUUCGUGUUUUGGUUUUUUGUGCAGUUGCAAUGGCUUCCGGAAUCCCAAAGUGGAGGGUCCGAAUCUCUAUGGAUUCAUCAAACGCUGUUGAAAUGAAUCGUGUGCUGAGAAAAGUCCAUGUACAACGAAUUGCAAUGACACCAUUUAGAAGGAGUGUGGGUACCCAAAGACAACAGACACAACCAACAGAGUCAACACAGACAAGUGCAGCAUAAUGAUCAACCAAGUUCUUCUGCAACACUAGAUGAUGUCAUACAACGCAUUGACCAACUCCAGACGUACAUUGGUACAAGAUAGGACGACCUAGAAGCACGAGUUGGUAACAUUGAGAACCGACUACAGCAAUCUCCCACCCCAUUUUAUCAUUUCACUUCAUAGUUUUAAAUUGGUGUUGACAUGUAUUUGCUUUCAUUUGGAACUUGUAUGCAUUACUGCAAUAUUGUACUGUUUUUAUUACUUCAA